GCAGAACGCGAAGAACCUUACCUACCCUUGACAUGCCUGGAAUCCCGCAGAGAUGUGGGGGUGCUCGAAAGAGAGCCAGGACACAGGUGCUGCAUGGCCGUCGUCAGCUCGUGUCGUGAGAUGUUGGGUUAAGUCCCGCAACGAGCGCAACCCUUGCCAUUAGUUGCUACGAAAGGGCACUCUAAUGGGACUGCCGGUGACAAACCGGAGGAAGGUGGGGAUGACGUCAGGUCAUCAUGGCCCUUAUGGGUAGGGCUACACACGUCAUACAAUGGCCGGUACAGAGGGCUGCCAACCCGCGAGGGGGAGCCAAUCCCAGAAAACCGGUCGUAGUCCGGAUCGCAGUCUGCAACUCGACUGCGUGAAGUCGGAAUCGCUAGUAAUCGCGGAUCAGCAUGUCGCGGUGAAUACGUUCCCGGGUCUUGUACACACCG
RNAcentral lists this ribosomal RNA (434 nucleotides) under uncultured bacterium. RNAcentral describes it as "bacterial SSU rRNA". It matches the Rfam family "Bacterial small subunit ribosomal RNA", at positions 954 to 1392 of the family's 1533-position model. The record is from RNAcentral.